Strigops habroptila (Kakapo) is the source of this 3394-nucleotide RNA transcript. It is a transcript of the gene named RAD9 checkpoint clamp component B, with no coding region annotated. The record is from RefSeq and is a predicted model, not a curated record. Lineage: Eukaryota; Metazoa; Chordata; Aves; Psittaciformes; Psittacidae. The transcript has 6 exons.
GGCGGCCAUGAAGUGUGUCAUUGGGGGGGCGCACCUCAGAGUGUUUGGAAGAGCGAUUCAUGCCAUAGCACGUAUUAGCGAUGAGUUUUGGUUCGACCCCUUAGAGAAAGGUCUUGCCUUAAGGUCAGUGAAUUCUUCAAGGUCAGCAUAUGCAUAUGUGUUCUUCUCAUCUAUGUUUUUUCAACAUUACUGCUGGACUGCCCUGCCUCAGCCACGUCAGAAGGAAAAGCAGUUAUCUCCCCCCUGUAAAGUGAUAAUCAAGGCUGCUGGCUGAUAUCGUGAUUCACUUCCCGACCAGUCAAGAAGAAGUAACUUUAUCAGUUACACCGAUGAAAGUUUGCUUCAAGAGUUACACCGAGGAGGACACUGAUUUUUCAAAGACAAUGCUUACUGAAGUACAACUGAAUCCAGAUGAGUUUGACUACUUCCAAGUUGGAGUCGAUUCUGAAGUGACUUUUUGCCUUAAAGAAUUGAGGGUAAAGUAAGAAUUUGUCUUGAAAAUAGAACUUUUCCCAUUUACUUGCUUGACUUGACCAGGACAAUGUGGGAUAGCCCUGGAUGGGCUCCAUCAGGCCUCCUGACCAGAGGCACCAUUGCACCAGCUGGUCAAGGAUUAGGUUUAAAACCAGGAUCUUCUGGACACCGGGGAGUCCCUCACAGUAGCCUUUGAAAGGCAGCAGAACAUUUCAGACAACAAAACCAGGCAGGUACACUGUGACUGCACUGGGGCAGCAUUGUGGCCACAGAAGUUCUCCAUGUAGAAACUUCUUCGGCAAAGCCCCAGGCAGGGAUGGCACGAAAUGUGUUCUAGAAGCAGUUGACUUUUACCGUUUUUUGCCAGUAAACAACAUGUGGGAUAAACUUACAUUCUAAUGUUAAUCUUCUGGGUUUAAUGGUGCUCAACCACCCACCCCUUCUUUCCAGGGACUCCUGGCGUUUUCAGAAGCCACCAGUGUUCCUGUCUCCAUCCAUUUUGACAUCUCUGGAAAGUACGUUUGGGAACACACCUGGCUAGAACUGCUGCAGUUACACCUCGACACUCAGGUUUUGUCCACAGGUUACUCAAUAUUUAACGGGAACAAUAAAAGAGAUUUAAUUUUGUACCAAAAGCUCUAUUUCUAAUCUGUGAUACAGGUUAAAUAGUCUGUUAUUACACAAAAAGCGCUUAACAUAGGCACAGCAUUACUAAGCUGCCCAUGGUGACUAAUGAGCACCUAAAUAGAAGUCACCUGCAUGCUUCAGGCUCUCGGACUAAUCACGGAAUCAGACUUGUUUGGGUUAGAAGAGAUCUUAAAGCUCAUCCAGUUCCAACCCCCUGCCACGGGCAGGGACACCUUCCUCUAGACCAGGUUGCUCCAAGCCCCUGUGUCCAACCUGGUGAUUGGACCAACCUCAUUAAAAUAUAGACUGUUAUAUUUUACACUGAGAAAAUUCAUUAUACUGGAAAAGGAAAUACUCAAAUAAAUUGAGAACUUGCCUCCACUUCCAUGGACCAAGAUUCACACAGCUGUUACUGAGUGUUUCCUAACAGUGUGGGUAAGAAGUUACCCACAUCAGGGCAGAGGUAUGCUAAUGCAGGCAAUGGUUUUAUUUAGGAGUCUAAAGAAUAAGUUUUCUGUGUAAAAUAUAAUUUUAACUGUUAAAUAUCUAAAACUAAUUUGACUAAGUACAAUACUGUGUAGUGUAGCAUUUGCUCGUUGGUGCGUUUAAAUCUGCAACCAUCUUAUAUCCUUCAGCAGCAAAUACAUCACGUUUUCAGCUCUUCAGAGGAGGCUCGUUUUAAUCUUUAUGUCUAGAAUUGCACGAGCUGUUUCCUCCCACAACACGUGUAAUUACACACACUGGUUUAAGUCUCUGAAUAUCUGUGUUUAGACCAGUUGCUUUCAGCAUUGAGGAUCUGGUGCUGGAAGCCAGCUUUAUCUUGGCUACCUUGUCUGACAUUGAAAAGGAGACGACUUCCCAGCAGCCGCCCAGCUUUACACCGUGGCAGGAAAGGUAACGGUGGGCUGCAGGGAGGAUGGAAAAUUGAAGUUUAAGUGUUCCAGCCAAGCCAGAUGUAAGAUGAAAAGGAAUUGGCUCAUUCUUGCAGGGUACUGAGUCUUUGUUCAUAGGAAAACAGUGAAUUAGCCAGGUUCAGGAACACCUUAGGAGCAUUUACAGCAAUAAAACAGUGCAAGAGAGCACACUCUGUGCUAGCUUCUGUUUUCUUUUGUCUCCACAGGGUUAUUGCAGUAGGAGGGGAAGGGAAGGUACUUGUUGAGAAUCCAUUCUAAAGCCAUAAUGAUUUCACUAAUGGAAAACAGACAUACUAUACACAUAAAAGCCAGUUACUAACCUGACCUACUCUCUCCAAUCCAGCCUGGAGACACAUACAGAGAAAGCUGGAAACGCCUCCAUGGAUAAAGACAGCAGCACGCAGGCAAAUGCUUCCAAAAAGCCGCAGAGGAAUGGAAAGACCCCGAGCGCGGAGCCAGCGAAACCUGCGAGUCCUUUGGUAAAACAAGAGAGAAAAGUCAUUCCUGGAGCCACAGAGGGAGAUACAACAGGGGUAGAAGGAACAACCACAGCCCAUGCAGCACUGGCAGGAGAGUCUCACUACGAGAAGUUUCAUUCCUUGUUUUUCGGAGCAGUUUCCUGUAAGGAGGAUGCCGUCAGUCACACCUUCCAUAGUCUAGCGACAGCUAGCGACUCUGAAGAGGAUUUUGGCAACGUGCCGAGCUCCCCGGUCGUCUAGUGCCAUGAAGCGUUUGAACCUAAAGACUAUUGGGGGUUGCCUUGAAAGAUGAAAGAGUGGUUGAUGGGGUAACAGUGGAGCUGUUUCUGGUUCUAGAAAGUUCAGCUGCUGUUCUGCAAGUGAGAACUUGAUGAAAACUCUUUGUGUUCUGAGCUGUUGUGGUAAACAGCACUUUAUGAAGAACUAUUUGGAGUCUGGGAAGUGGAAAUGCCCCUCAAAUGGUGCCUGUUUGUUUUUUUUGCAGGACAGAUACGUGGAAAAGGACAGAACUCAACUCAAUACUGAGUACUUUGUCAGUUAAGAGUUUACUCACUGGUCACGUUAACCACCAGCACAGAUCAUCCUAAACCGUUACCUGCUGUUCUAGUGUAAAUUUAGGUCACGACUGACCAGGUUGGGGUUCGUUACGUGCUGUGUAGGAACAGCUUUGCCUGUUCAGCGCAUGUUCCUAAUGGAGAACUCACCACUUGAGGCUGGUUAAGCUGCUGUUGUAAAGUUGAGUGCUGGAAAAACAAACCCAUCCUCUCACUCCAGCAGUGCCGGACACGCCACUGCUGGGGAAGAGCCGGUGCUUUUACAGGAUUGGUGUAGAACCGGCAUUUCCCUGGGUAAGUAACGUUGUAGGAAUGCAUCUGAACCAAUAAAGGGGAUGUUCAAGUG